This 372-nucleotide ribosomal RNA is filed under the name uncultured organism. RNAcentral's name for it is "partial 16S ribosomal RNA". It matches the Rfam family "Bacterial small subunit ribosomal RNA", at positions 527 to 896 of the family's 1533-position model. The record is from RNAcentral.
GGAGGGGGCUAGCGUUGUUCGGAAUUAUUGGGCGUAAAGGGCGCGUAGGCGGCCUGGUAAGUCGGACGUGAAAUCCCGCGGCUCAACCGCGGAAUUGCGUUCGAAACUGUCAGGCUUGAGUCCCGGAGAGGGUAGCGGAAUUCCCAGUGUAGCGGUGAAAUGCGUAGAUAUUGGGAGGAACACCAGUGGCGAAGGCGGUUACCUGGACGGGUACUGACGCUGAGGCGCGAAAGCGUGGGGAGCAAACAGGAUUAGAUACCCUGGUAGUCCACGCUGUAAACGAUGGGCACUUGGUGUUGCGGGUAUCGACCCCCUGCAGUGCCGAAGCUAACGCAUUAAGUGCCCCGCCUGGGGAGUACGGUCGCAAGGCUG